UUGUUUGUAAUGUGUUUACCAACCUACACUCACUUUCUAUAUAAUUUUCAGGAAAGCCUAGAUCAUCAAAUGAAAAUGGAAGGCAAGGACCUCGAAUGAAACAUGUGAUUAAUACAACUUUCUUUUUUAUAUUUAUAUUGUUUCGCCUUGUUUUAGGUAUUGAAAUUAUUUCAUUUACUAUAAAUAUAUUACUAUCAUUUAAUUAUUCAUAUUGGUUAUAAAGAGAAUUAAUUGCGGAAGGAAGACAUGGUAAUGGUUGAUCGUUAUUUAGAGUUAAGAAAUUACAAACAAACUAAGAUUCUAACAAAGGAUGAGUUUACUGGAAAUCUCUAUUUAAAUAGGUUAUUUCUGUCAUAAAGCUCUAAAUGUAUUUAAAUACGUUGAUGUGAAUGACUUCCAGAUGUUUGUGUUUUUUAAAGCGUUCAUGAUAAAGGCCAAUUGAGAAAAGCUCCUUGGACGGAAUAAAUAGACGAAGGGCUAGUUUUAUUUAGUUUCUAUAUGCUUGGUGUUGUUUAAAAAGUUAGACUGCUCAUUAUUUUGCCAACUUAUAAAAUUGUUAGAAACAAUGAUAUCAUAGAAAAAGCUGUUUGAUUUAUAUUUAUAUCUCAGAUAAAAUACAAAACUGUAUCUCACAUAUGAACACGUAUGAAAAUACAAAUAAAAAGAAUUGGUAUAUAUAUAUGAAUAUUUCAAGGAUUCAAAUAUUGAUACAUAAACCAAGUACGACUUAUAUUUAUGUAUUUUCAGGAAAGCCUAGGCCAGCAAGUAACGUAAAUGAACAGCAAGAUAAAAUUUGUGAAAGGCAAAAUAAAAAGCAAGCAGAAACUCAAUGGAGACAUGUUAUAAGUCUUAUUCUCUUUUUUAUAUUUUUACUUUUUCGCCCUUUUUCUAAAGUUUAGUAAAGAGAAUAAUGACUUAUCUUUGUAAAAUCAUGUAAUUUGUGUGUCUUAUUUGUGUAACAUUGUUAUUUUAUUCAUCGAUGAAUGUAUUCAGAUUGUGACGCACCCUAAUGUAAAGCUAUCUUCCUUUACAAUUGAUGUCGUAUCAACAUGUUAAAAUGUCUUCAUAUCUUUUAAGUACAGAACACAUAUAAAACAAAUUCAGUAUUGAGUGUUAUAGUUCUUUUUCUUUUUUAACAUACGGUCUUCUUGUGUUGUUGAUAUGCUUGAACAAACAAGAAUGCAUAUGUUCUAUUAUUUCAAAUUGACG
This 1209-nucleotide long non-coding RNA is filed under the name Mytilus galloprovincialis (Mediterranean mussel). Lineage: Eukaryota; Metazoa; Mollusca; Bivalvia; Mytilida; Mytilidae. The record is from RNAcentral.